GAUGAACGCUGGCGGCGUGCCUAAUACAUGCAAGUCGAGCGAACGGACGAGAAGCUUGCUUCUCUGACGUUAGCGGCGGACGGGUGAGUAACACGUGGAUAACCUACCUAUAAGACUGGGAUAACUUCGGGAAACCGGAGCUAAUACCGGAUAAUAUAUUGAACCGCAUGGUUCAAUAGUGAAAGACGGUCUUGCUGUCACUUAUAGAUGGAUCCGCGCUGCAUUAGCUAGUUGGUAAGGUAACGGCUUACCAAGGCAACGAUGCAUAGCCGACCUGAGAGGGUGAUCGGCCACACUGGAACUGAGACACGGUCCAGACUCCUACGGGAGGCAGCAGUAGGGAAUCUUCCGCAAUGGGCGAAAGCCUGACGGAGCAACGCCGCGUGAGUGAUGAAGGUCUUCGGAUCGUAAAACUCUGUUAUUAGGGAAGAACAAAUGUGUAAGUAACUAUGCACAUCUUGACGGUACCUAAUCAGAAAGCCACGGCUAACUACGUG
Molecule: ribosomal RNA, 497 nt
Filed under: uncultured bacterium
Lineage: Bacteria
Description: partial 16S ribosomal RNA
Rfam family: Bacterial small subunit ribosomal RNA
Source: RNAcentral